Molecule: ribosomal RNA, 2280 nt
Filed under: human gut metagenome
Description: bacterial LSU rRNA
Rfam family: Bacterial large subunit ribosomal RNA
Source: RNAcentral
AACUCGUCGGAAUCUGGGAGGACCAUCUCCUAAACCUAAAUACUCUCUAGUGACAGAUAGUGAACCAUUACCGUGAGGGAAAGGUGAAAAUCACCCCGGGAGGGGAGUGAAAUAGAACCUGAAACCGUGUGCCUACAACAAGUUCGAGCCCGUUAAUGGGUGAGAGCGUGCCUUUUGUAGAAUGCACCGGCGAGUUACGAUAUGAUGCGAGGUUAAGUUGAAGAGACGGAGCCGUAGGGAAACCGAGUCUUAAUAGGGCGAAUUAGUAUCAUGUCGUAGACCCGAAACCAUGUGACCUACCCAUGAGCAGGGUGAAGGUGAGGUAAAACUCACUGGAGGCCCGAACCAGGGCACGUUGAAAAGUGCUUGGAUGACUUGUGGGUAGCGGAGAAAUUCCAAACGAACUUGGAGAUAGCUGGUUCUCUCCGAAAUAGCUUUAGGGCUAGCGUCGAUGUUAAGUCUCUUGGAGGUAGAGCACUGUUUGAUUGAGGGGUCCAUCCCGGAUUACCAAUAUCAGAUAAACUCCGAAUGCCAAUGAGAUAUAAUCGGCAGUCAGACUGCGAGUGCUAAGAUCCGUAGUCGAAAGGGAAACAGCCCAGACCACCAGCUAAGGUCCCAAAAUAUAUGUUAAGUGGAAAAGGAUGUGGGGUUGCACAGACAACUAGGAUGUUAGCUUAGAAGCAGCUAUUCAUUCAAAGAGUGCGUAAUAGCUCACUAGUCGAGUGACCCUGCGCCGAAAAUGUACCGGGGCUAAAACAUAUUACCGAAGCUGUGGAUACCUUUUAGGUAUGGUAGGAGAGCGUUCUAUGUGUGAAGAAGGUGUACCGUGAGGAGCGCUGGAACGCAUAGAAGUGAGAAUGCCGGUAUGAGUAGCGAAAGACAGGUGAGAAUCCUGUCCACCGUAUGACUAAGGUUUCCAGGGGAAGGCUCGUCCUCCCUGGGUUAGUCGGGACCUAAGGAGAGACCGAAAGGUGUAUCCGAUGGACAACAGGUUGAUAUUCCUGUACUAGAGUAUAUAGUGAUGGAGGGACGCAGUAGGCUAACUAAAGCGUGCGAUUGGAAGUGCACGUCUAAGCAGUGAGGUGUGAUAUGAGUCAAAUGCUUAUAUCUUUAACAUUGAGCUGUGAUGGGGAGCGAAGUUAAGUAGCGAAGUUAGUGAUGUCACACUGCCAAGAAAAGCUUCUAGCGUUAAUUAUACUCUACCCGUACCGCAAACCGCCACAGGUAGUCGAGGCGAGUAGCCUCAGGUGAGCGAGAGAACUCUCGUUAAGGAACUCGGCAAAAUGGCCCCGUAACUUCGGGAGAAGGGGCGCUGGCUUUAAGUCAGCCGCAGUGAAUAGGCCCAAGCAACUGUUUAUCAAAAACACAGCUCUCUGCUAAAUCGUAAGAUGAUGUAUAGGGGGUGACGCCUGCCCGGUGCUGGAAGGUUAAGAGGAGCGCUUAGCAUUAGCGAAGGUGUGAAUUGAAGCCCCAGUAAACGGCGGCCGUAACUAUAACGGUCCUAAGGUAGCGAAAUUCCUUGUCGGGUAAGUUCCGACCCGCACGAAAGGCGUAAUGAUUUGGGCACUGUCUCAACGAGAGACUCGGUGAAAUUUUAGUACCUGUGAAGAUGCAGGUUACCCGCGACAGGACGGAAAGACCCCAUGGAGCUUUACUGCAGUUUGAUAUUGAGUAUCUGUACCACAUGUACAGGAUAGGUAGGAGCCUAUGAAAUCGGGACGCUAGUUUCGGUGGAGGCGUUGUUGGGAUACUACCCUUGUGUUAUGGCUACUCUAACCUAGAUAGGUUAUCCCUAUCGGAGACAGUGUCUGACGGGCAGUUUGACUGGGGCGGUCGCCUCCUAAAAGGUAACGGAGGCGCCCAAAGGUUCCCUCAGAAUGGUUGGAAAUCAUUCGCAGAGUGUAAAGGUAUAAGGGAGCUUGACUGCGAGAGCUACAACUCGAGCAGGGACGAAAGUCGGGCUUAGUGAUCCGGUGGUUCCGCAUGGAAGGGCCAUCGCUCAACGGAUAAAAGCUACCCUGGGGAUAACAGGCUUAUCUCCCCCAAGAGUUCACAUCGACGGGGAGGUUUGGCACCUCGAUGUCGGCUCGUCGCAUCCUGGGGCUGUAGUCGGUCCCAAGGGUUGGGCUGUUCGCCCAUUAAAGCGGCACGCGAGCUGGGUUCAGAACGUCGUGAGACAGUUCGGUCCCUAUCCGUCGCGGGCGUAGGAAAUUUGAGAGGAUCUGCUCCUAGUACGAGAGGACCAGAGUGGACUUACCGCUGGUGUACCAGUUGUCUUGC